AAUUAUCAACUCCCUUUCUUUAUUGAAGGGUGAGCUUGGACUUGGGGAUUGCUGGUUUUCAAUCGGCUUCCCUUGAAUGCAUUAGCUGGAAUUUAAUUCGCAGCAUAUAUGCGGUGUGAUAAUGUCGUCACUGUGUAGCUCGGAUUGUCUAGCUUCUAAUCGUCCUUCACGGGACAAUUUGAUCA
RNAcentral lists this unclassified non-coding RNA (185 nucleotides) under Xylodon asperus. RNAcentral describes it as "Xylodon asper partial internal transcribed spacer 2". The record is from RNAcentral. Lineage: Eukaryota; Fungi; Basidiomycota; Agaricomycetes; Hymenochaetales; Schizoporaceae.